AAUGUUUUAGGUUAAAUAAACCCUGGGCCUUCAAAGCCCAUAAUAAAGUCCGUUCUUUAAACAUUA
Molecule: transfer RNA, 66 nt
Filed under: Lepas anserifera
Lineage: Eukaryota; Metazoa; Arthropoda; Thecostraca; Lepadidae
Description: tRNA-Trp
Source: RNAcentral